CAGUAGCCGCGGUAAUACGUAGGUCCCGAGCGUUGUCCGGAUUUAUUGGGCGUAAAGCGAGCGCAGGCGGUUAGAUAAGUCUGAAGUUAAAGGCUGUGGCUUAACCAUAGUACGCUUUGGAAACUAUUUAACUUGAGUGCAGAAGGGGAGAGUGGAAUUCCAUGUGUAGCGGUGAAAUGCGUAGAUAUAUGGAGGAACACCGGUGGCGAAAGCGGCUCUCUGGUCUGUAACUGACGCUGAGGCUCGAAAGCGUGGGGAGCAAACAGGAUUAGAUACCCCCGUAGUCCCUGUCUCUUAUACA
RNAcentral lists this ribosomal RNA (301 nucleotides) under uncultured bacterium. RNAcentral's name for it is "partial 16S ribosomal RNA". It matches the Rfam family "Bacterial small subunit ribosomal RNA", at positions 509 to 808 of the family's 1533-position model. The record is from RNAcentral.